UUUAGUUUUUAAUCAUACAAAUAUAUUGUAUAACCACAAACAUACACAUAGUGAUUUUAAUUUAUGUCACAACUAAAUACUGUGUCAUAAGCAUGAUAAGUGUGUAGUGGCUUUAAAUUGAAAUGAAGAAAAUAAUUGUGAUCAGCGGAAUAUAUCAUAGACUUUACCAGUAAUGCACUGCGGUUCAGAAGCUUUGUUAAAAACAACAAUUCCGUACAAAUCAAAUGCAGGACAAAACGAACAAUAGUUUUUAUUUAACCGGUGAGAAAAGAAUCUUUAUUUGCUAAUGUGUAACUGAAGUUUUCCUAAUUAAAUUUGUAAAAAAUUAUCAUGGACAAAUUGAACAUUUUUCGUCUAAGAGAUAAGUAUACAGCUUGUGAUUUUCAUCGUUUUCUACUUUGAAAAAUUAAAGAUAUAAACUUGUUUGGUUUGUAUUUGUGGUGUUUUAAUUUCAAAAUCAAUUGGAUACAUGUGGUAAACAUGAUUGGAGAAUUUAACUGAAUAAGAUGCUUUGUGAGAAGUUUACUUAGAUGCAGGUACAAUCAUAACGUUUAAAGUUCUAUUUGUAAAUUUUGCAGCUAAUAUAUGAAUAUAAAAAAAACAUUAAAUAUAAGUCAUCAUUGAGACGAUUUUAUCUAAAACUUUCUAGUAUACUGAUAGAUAUAGAGCAACACUGAAAGUACUUGAAUAUUUGAUACAAGUUUAGUGUUUGUGUACAGAUUAGUUUAACUGCAAACACAAUGUUGUUUGCUAUGUCAACUGGUGAACAACACUUUCUAAAAGUGUUGGACGCUACCAUGGCAUGAUACACGUUACUUAACAGGCUGAUUUAUGGUUCAUUAAAAAGAAGUCACACCGGUAUAUAAAGGUCAACAUUGGAACAAGAUACAACUAAUCUUACAUAACUAAUCUUUCUCGCUACAUUGAAGACCUGUUGGUGACCCUCUGCUGUUGUUUUUUUAUUUGGUUGGGUUGUUGUCUCUUUGACACAUUCCCAAUUUCCAUUCUCAAUUUUAUUAUAAGGGAAGUGACCUUUGAAGUAAGAUUAAGAAAAAAAUAUAUAUAAUACGCUGCAGGGAAGACAAGAGUGUAUAGUUACCUAAGCUUUUAUGUUCUUGUAUAUUUAGGAAAUAGAACACUAAAGCAGAACGGACAGAUGAGUCAUUGAGUUCGAAUGCUGAAUCAUUUUAGCAAGUAAAUUUGCUGUCUCCUUUACGUAUACCUGUUUUUAUCAAUGGUGAGGUGACUAGUUAAUAUGUACCGAUUAUCAGGUUGUCUGCAUGUUGAUAUCGUAAAAUAUCAGCUGCGAGACAUAAUAUGAAGCUUUUUGAGUAGCGCGAGAUCAAAAAAGCUUCAUAUAUGUCGAGUAGCUGAUAUUUUACAUAUAAUAUGCCGAUAACUGAUAAUCGUUUAUGGUGUAUUUGCGUCUUCUGGAAGUAUUGUCUUAGUUUCACCAGCAACCGGAAGUUGACUUGAUAAGUUCGGGUCAAACUUAUCAAUGUCGGUUCAAACAUUAUGACGUCGCUGAUAUGUCCGGGUCAACGUUAUUCAGGCCAGGUCAACGUAUUGACGUCACAAAGCCGUGAUAUGGAGUUUUAUUAAGAGCUGAACAGAUUGAUAUAGACAGUUGGUUGACCGAUAACAUAGAUUAUAGACCUUUUUUAUAUCAGGCCUGGUAUCAUCCAAAGACUUCCGUUCUUGCAAAAGGAGCUAGCCGAAGGUUCAUACAGCUGAAGGGAUGAAGCGACGGCCGAUAUGGAAAAGGACAUGUUUUAAUCCAUUUACCACAUAUUAUACAAAUACUUAAAAGGUAGAAAUAAUUCUAUGAUUCCAUGUGGCAAGAUCAUACAUUUUUUCUGCUCAACGGACAUAGCUGCCUUAAUAUGAUACUCCCAACCG
This 1899-nucleotide long non-coding RNA is filed under the name Mytilus galloprovincialis (Mediterranean mussel). Lineage: Eukaryota; Metazoa; Mollusca; Bivalvia; Mytilida; Mytilidae. The record is from RNAcentral.